UACGGAGGGGGCUAGCGUUGUUCGGAAUCACUGGGCUUAAAGGGCGCGUAGGCGGCUCGCGAGGUCGGGGGUGAAAUCCCACAGCUCAACUGUGGAAGUGCCUUCGAUACCGGCGGGCUGGAGGAAGGUAGGGGUGCGCGGAACUUCUGGUGGAGCGGUGAAAUGCGUUGAUAUCAGAAGGAACGCCGGCGGCGAAAGCGGCGCACCUGGACCUUUUCUGACGCUGAGGCGCGAAAGCCAGGGGAGCAAACGGG
RNAcentral lists this ribosomal RNA (254 nucleotides) under uncultured bacterium. RNAcentral's name for it is "partial 16S ribosomal RNA". It matches the Rfam family "Bacterial small subunit ribosomal RNA", at positions 524 to 776 of the family's 1533-position model. The record is from RNAcentral.